This 320-nucleotide unclassified non-coding RNA is filed under the name plant metagenome. Its description in RNAcentral is "partial contains 5.8S ribosomal RNA, internal transcribed spacer 2, and large subunit ribosomal RNA". The stretch from base 1 to 105 matches the Rfam family "5.8S ribosomal RNA", at positions 50 to 154 of the family's 154-position model. The record is from RNAcentral.
GAAAUGCGAUAAGUAAUGUGAAUUGCAGAAUUCAGUGAAUCAUCGAAUCUUUGAACGCACAUUGCGCCCGUCAGUAUUCUGGCGGGCAUGCCUGUUCGAGCGUCAUUACAACCCUCAGGCCCCCGGGCCUGGCGUUGGGGAUCGGCGGAAGCCCCCUGCGGGCACAACGCCGUCCCCCAAAUACAGUGGCGGUCCCGCCGCAGCUUCCAUUGCGUAGUAGCUAACACCUCGCAACUGGAGAGCGGCGCGGCCACGCCGUAAAACACCCAACUUCUGAAUGUUGACCUCGAAUCAGGUAGGAAUACCCGCUGAACUUAAGC